Molecule: unclassified non-coding RNA, 298 nt
Filed under: fungal sp.
Lineage: Eukaryota; Fungi
Description: partial internal transcribed spacer region
Rfam family: Eukaryotic small subunit ribosomal RNA (bases 1-46)
Source: RNAcentral
AAGUCGUAACAAGGUUUCCGUAGGUGAACCUGCGGAAGGAUCAUUAACACGUUUUAACACGCUGUUGAAAAUCUUUACCCCUCUGUGAACGAAACUACUCUAACAACUGGAAAUCCUGUGCUGUGCUUCUCGCCAGAGACGCGGUCAGGUCGUUUGUGUGGUGGUUCAUCCAUCAUCCAGACGUUAACCCAACAAAACCCUUGAACCUUUCUGAUCUGAAACAACAUUUCCAAUCGGCGUUCGCGUCAUGGAAAUUCAAACCAAAAAACAACUCUUAACAACGGAUAUCUUGGUUCUC